UUGACCUCGAAUCAGGUAGGAAUACCCGCUGAACUUAAGCAUAUCAAUAAGCGGAGGAAAAGAAACCAACAGGGAUUGCCCCAGUAACGGCGAGUGAAGCGGCAACAGCUCAAAUUUGAAAUCUGGCUCUCGGGCCCGAGUUGUAAUUUGUAGAGGAUGCUUUUGGUGAGGUGCCUUCCGAGUUCCCUGGAACGGGACGCCAUAGAGGGUGAGAGCCCCGUCUGGUUGGACGCCGAACCUCUGUAAAGCUCCUUCGACGAGUCGAGUAGUUUGGGAAUGCUGCUCUAAAUGGGAGGUAUAUGUCUUCUAAAGCUAA
This 316-nucleotide ribosomal RNA is filed under the name Fusarium sp. 08025. RNAcentral's name for it is "eukaryotic LSU rRNA". It matches the Rfam family "Eukaryotic large subunit ribosomal RNA", at positions 1 to 319 of the family's 3401-position model. Lineage: Eukaryota; Fungi; Ascomycota; Sordariomycetes; Hypocreales; Nectriaceae. The record is from RNAcentral.